UACGUAGGGGGCAAGCGUUGUCCGGAUUCAUUGGGCGUAAAGAGCGUGUAGGCGGCCAGGUAGGUCGGUUGUGAAAACUGGAGGCUCAACCUUCAGAGGUCGACCGAAACCAUCUGGCUAGAGUCCGGGAGAGGAGAGUGGAAUUCCUGGUGUAGCGGUGAAAUGCGCAGAUAUCAGGAGGAACACCGGUGGCGAAGGCGGUGGUCUGGGCCGGAACUGACGCUGAGGAGCGAAAGCGUGGGGAGCGAACAGG
This 253-nucleotide ribosomal RNA is filed under the name uncultured bacterium. Its description in RNAcentral is "partial 16S ribosomal RNA". It matches the Rfam family "Bacterial small subunit ribosomal RNA", at positions 524 to 776 of the family's 1533-position model. The record is from RNAcentral.